This 2057-nucleotide long non-coding RNA is filed under the name Panax ginseng (ginseng). RNAcentral describes it as "long non-coding RNA (PGIN_LNC004591)". Lineage: Eukaryota; Viridiplantae; Streptophyta; Magnoliopsida; Apiales; Araliaceae. The record is from RNAcentral.
AGAGAGAGAGAGAGAGAGAGAGAGAGAGAGAGAGAGAGAGAGACGUUCAGAAACGGCCCUAUUCCACGGACCAAUUGACGGACCAAAUAAAAAAGGAAGAAAAAAGACGUUCGAUCACAAAUAAAAAUGGGGGAAGAAACGCGGGUCACAGCCGGGUAAAAAACCCAAUUGAAGAACGUCAUUCUCUCUCUCCAUCUGCAGACGAUACUGCUCCAUCUUCUUCCUUCCCUCUCUCACACAAUUAAGUAGUAGACGGAAUAGCUCAUCGAAAGCAGAGGCAAACAGAUCGCUUUGUAUAAGGAUAUCUUCACUAUUAACAGUAUAAGGAUAUCUUCACCAUUGACGAUGAUUGCUUUGUAAGAUCCCUAUUCUUUAGUACCCUUUUGAGAAUUGUUUUGUUUUUGCUAAGUUGUUUUGAUUUGGGUUUUGGGUUUUAGAGUUUGAUUUUAUGUUAUAUUUGUUCAAUUUUAGUGGGGAAGUGUUGAAUUUUCGUGGGGUUUAGAGUUUUAUUUUGAGAAAUUUGGUUUUGAUUCAUUUGAUUUAUAGAUAUUGUUAAAGUUUUGUUUUUUUCAACUAGGUUUGACUUUGGGAGUAGGAUUGUGGUAUUUUUUGUUGGGCGUUUGUUAAAUUGUAGUGAUACUAACUUUUGGCCUGAUGAAUUUAACUUUUAAUGGGGUUUGUGUUUUUAGCUUUUUCUUUUUGGAACAAUGAGAUUAAGGAAGAGUUCUACUCUCUCAUAUUUUGUUCAAUUCAGAGAAACCAACCGAACACUUAUUGGAUGGCUCUUGAAAUUUACCUCUCGAGAAAGCCAAAUUGUUAACAAUUUAUAUUCAAAACUAUAACACUUAAACCAGGCUUGUUGGUUUUGAAAGUAGUAUGGGUAAUGCAUAUAUCUCUGCAUAUUAUCAUACUUCAUUUAUACUGUGACAAAAGGAAACAAGUGUACAACAUUAUUCAUGUAAAUAAUGCAGAAUGGCCCUUCCGGUAUCUCAGAGAAGAUUUUGUGCAACACAUACUUUUUCAACCAGCCACAUAUGUGCAUCAUUAUGGAAUCAGUGCAGAGUAAGAAGUUGAAGGUAGUGUUGUUACGUUAGUUGCAGCAGUUUUGUUCCUCCUGUGGAAUUAAUUAAGAAGCCAAGUCCAUCAUUAUUAAUAUGGCUAAAAUUCAAUAAAUAGUUAAAUAACUAAAAAUAGUAAAAUGCUCUAGAUGCUAAACAUACCCUGCUAUCAUAUACAAACACUUGUCAUAGCCUGCACGCAACAAAGAAAAACAUCACAUGAGUGAUGAAUUAAGAACAAAGAUUUUAGUGACUUUGCUUGGGGCAUUAAUCCCUUAUAUAAGACCAAAAUUGUUUUGUCGUUAUCUACUAGAAUGUCAUUAUAGCCAUGGUGUUUAUUCAAUGCUUCUACAACUAGGUGCGUCUCUAUUUUUCACCUUAUUUUGGUUUCAUGCCUUAAUUUGUUGAAAAAUUGAUAUGUAAUCCUGAUCAUGUUUGCCUGAAGCUGAAGCAAGGUUUCAAAUUUGUGCUGAAGGAGUAACUGAUGUCAAGGACUGAACCUUGAGAAUAACUUUUUCUCCCAAACUACUUCCCUUUCAUUCAUCUGGAAUUCAAGAUCCAUGGUUCUAACAAAAUGUGAUUACUCUGAAUAUUCACCCAAGUGGAAGCGGAUGCACAUUGAAGAGAUCUGUGAAUCAAUAAUGGACAUGUACUGCUUUUUUCUUUCAUAUGUAACACGAUAAAGCUUUUCUUUCUUCUUGUCUUCUUACUUUCUUGUACUAUUAAGGAGAAACAAUGUAUCUUUUCUUCUUCUUUUUUUCAACUUUCUUGUACUACUCAAAGAGAAAUAAUGUUUGGUUUUUACACAAGGUAAAUUCAGAUUUAUACCUUUUGCGCAUUGACAUAGAUUGAUAAUAGUCUUGUAAAGUAAAUUAAUACUCUCAAGUGAAGGUAAUAUAGGUUGGGACGAAGGGAGUAGAUUUUUUGAUCUGCUUUUUAACUCCCACAUUUCUGAAAUCAAUUACAAAAUGGACUAAAGUCUGUUGCUGAUAAUUCAUG